UUCCGGUUGAUCCUGCCGGACCCGACUGCUAUCGGAUUGGGACUAAGCCAUGCGAGUCAACUCGAAAGAGUGGCGCACGGCUCAGUAACACGUAGUCAAUCUACCCUGAGGACGGGGAUAACCCCGGGAAACUGGGGAUAAACCCCGAUAGGUCAUAGCUCCUGGAAUGGGCUAUGGCUCAAAUCUAUAUGGCCUUAGGAUGGGACUGCGUCCGAUCAGGUUGUUGGUGGGGUAAUGGCCCACCAAGCCUAUAACCGGUACGGGCUCUGAGAGGAGGAGCCCGGAGAUGGGCACUGAGACAAGGGCCCAGGUCCUAUGGGGCGCAGCAGGCGCGAAACCUCCGCAAUGGGCGAAAGCCCGACGGGGUCAGUCCAAGUGGCUCCUGCUAAAGGAGUCUUUUGCCAGCUGUAAACAGGCUGGUGAAUAAGGGGUGGGCAAGCCUGGUGUCAGCCGCCGCGGUAAUACCAGCACCCCGAGUGGUCGGGAUGAUUAUUGGGCCUAAAGCAUCCGUAGCCGGUGUAGUAAGUCCUCCGUUAAAUCCACCUGCUCAACAGGUGGGCUGCGGAGGAUACUGCUACACUAGGAAGCGGGAGAGGCGAGGGGUAUUUCCACGGGUAGGGGUAAAAUCCUCUGAUCCGUGGAGGACCACCAGUGGCGAAGCGUCUCGCCUGAACGCGCUCGACGGUGAGGGAUGAAAGCUGGGGGAGCAAACCGGAUUUAGAUACCCGGGUAGUCCCAGCCGUAACGAUGUAGCUCGGUGAUUGACUUGCUCCGAGCCA
Molecule: ribosomal RNA, 779 nt
Filed under: uncultured archaeon
Lineage: Archaea
Description: bacterial SSU rRNA
Rfam family: Archaeal small subunit ribosomal RNA
Source: RNAcentral